Molecule: long non-coding RNA, 1444 nt
Filed under: Mus musculus (house mouse)
Lineage: Eukaryota; Metazoa; Chordata; Mammalia; Rodentia; Muridae
Description: long non-coding RNA chr2:98721187-98722631
Source: RNAcentral
UAAUCUUUCAACAAACCUAAAAGAAGAUAGCCACCUGAACAAAAUCCCAAAUCUAACUGGAAGCAACAAUUACUUUUCCUUAAUAUCUCUUAAUAUCAAUGGACUCAAUUACCCGAUAAAAAUACAUAGACAAAUAGACUGGCUAUGUAAAUAGGUCCCAACAUUUUGCUGCAUACAGGAAACCCAGAGACACACCUCAGGGACAAAGACAGACACUACCUCAGAAUAAAAGUCUAGAAAACAAUUUCUCAUGCAAAUGGUCCUAAGAAACAAGCUGGAGUAGCCAUUCUAAUAUGGAAUAAAAUUGACUCUCAACCUAAAAUUACCAUAAAAGAAAAGGAGGGACACUUCAUAAUAAUCAAAGGAAGAAGUAAAAAUGUCACUAUUUGCAGAUGAUAUGAUAGUAUACAUAAGUGACCAUUUAAUUUCACCAGAGAACACCAAAGCCUGAUAAACAACUUCAGCUAAGUAGGAAGCUGGAUAUAAAAUUAACUCAAACAAUUCAGUGGCCUUUCUCUACACAAAGAAUAAACAGGGUGAGAAAGGAAUUACGGAAAAAAAAAACACCAUUCAUAAUAAUCACAAAUACCUUUGUGUUAAACUAAGUGAGUGAAAGGUCUAUAUGAUAAGAAUUUCAAGUCUCUGAAGAAAGAAAUUGAAGAUCUCAGAAGAUGGAAAGAUCUCCUAUGCUCAAGGAUUAGAAGGAUUAAUAUAAUAAAAAUGGCUAUCGUGCCAAAAGUAAUCUACAGAUUCAAUGCAAUCCCCAUCAAAAUUCCAACUCAGUUCUCCACAGAGUUAGAAGGGCAGUUUGCAAAUUCAUCAGGAAUAACAAAAAUAUCUAGGAUAGCAAAAACUAUUCUCAACAAUAAAAGAACCUCUGGUGGAAUCACCAUCUUUGACCUCAAGCUGUGCUAAAGAGCAUUUUGAUAAAAUCUGCAUGGUACUGGUACAAUGACGGACAGGUAGAUCAAUGGAAUAGAACUGAAAACCCAGAAAUGAACCCACACACCUAUGCUCCCUUGAUCUUUGACAAAGAGCUAAAAUUAUCCAGUGGAAAAAGGAGAGCAUUUUCAACAAUCAGUGCUGGCACAAAGGGCAAUUAGCAUGCAGAAGACUGCUAAUUGAAUCAUUUUUAUAUCCUUGUUCAAAGGUUAAAUCUAAUUGAAUCAAGGAACUCCAAGUAAAACCAGAGACACUGAAGCUUGUAGAAGAGAAAUUGGGGAAGAUCCUUGAACAUAUGGGCACAGGGGGAAAAUUCCUGAAAAGAACAGCAAUGGCUUGUUCUGUAAGAUCAAGAAUUAACAAAAGAGACCUCAUAAAGUUGUAAAACUUCUGUAAGGCAAAGGACACUGUCAAUGAGACAGAAAGGCAACAAGGCAACAAACAGAUUGGGAAAGGAUCGUUAGCAGUCCUAAAUCUGAUAGGAGGCUAAUAUCCAAUAUAU